This 253-nucleotide ribosomal RNA is filed under the name uncultured bacterium. RNAcentral's name for it is "partial 16S ribosomal RNA". It matches the Rfam family "Bacterial small subunit ribosomal RNA", at positions 524 to 776 of the family's 1533-position model. The record is from RNAcentral.
UACGUAGGGGGCAAGCGUUGUCCGGAAUCAUUGGGCGUAAAGAGCGUGUAGGCGGCCCGAUAAGUCCGCUGUGAAAGUCCAGGGCUCAACCCUGGAAUGCCGGUGGAUACUGUCGGGCUCGAAUCCGGAAGAGGUGAGUGGAAUUCCUGGUGUAGCGGUGAAAUGCGCAGAUAUCAGGAGGAACACCAAUGGCGAAGGCAGCUCACUGGGACGGUACUGACGCUAAGGCGCGAAAGCGUGGGGAGCGAACAGG